Drosophila miranda is the source of this 637-nucleotide long non-coding RNA. RefSeq lists it as uncharacterized. The record is from RefSeq and is a predicted model, not a curated record. The transcript has 3 exons. NCBI's taxonomy places the organism in Eukaryota, Metazoa, Arthropoda, Insecta, Diptera, Drosophilidae.
GACCAGUCGAAAAAGAACCGAAAAACGAAGCCGCCUUCGGUUUGUUUUUGAAGGCGGCAAAUAACCGCAAUUCCGUGGAGUUACAGUGCCCACUCAGCUGGUUUUUACCGAGCCACGACAUGCAAUAAGCACCGAAAUGGUAAGUUAAUCGUGAUAUUUUACUGUAGUUGCGCUCGUGGAAUGAAAGAGACAAGAAUUUACACAAACAAAAUGCAUUUGUUUUCCUCGUUUGCUUUAUGCGUUGAUUUUGUUCACUUCUGUACAACAUCUAAUCGCUGGAAGAGUCUUUUGUGUAAACAUUUAUUAAAAAAGUGGAAAAGAAUUAAUAAAUAAAUCAAAUUAAUAUAAACAGACUCCGUAAGAGUGAAAGGGAAGCUAACAUUGCAAAGUUAGCGUUGUGCAGGAAAGAUAACAGAUAACAGCAAUGAAAUCGAUUCUCCAGCCAGCUGGCGUUUUGAGCGGCUUAAACUUUAUUUUGAGUGAGGAAAUUGUUCUAGCCUAUAACGUAAGGGAAGAAGGCCCUUAGGACCCACAAAGAAUUUUUUGCAGCUUUGCUAGAAUGUAUUCCGCCUGGCGAUGAGCCCCCCGAAAACACUGUGCGGAAGGCAAUGCAAAGGAUGAAGAAAAGGGUGUUUAA